Molecule: unclassified non-coding RNA, 292 nt
Filed under: uncultured fungus
Lineage: Eukaryota; Fungi
Description: partial contains small subunit ribosomal RNA, internal transcribed spacer 1, and 5.8S ribosomal RNA
Rfam family: Eukaryotic small subunit ribosomal RNA (bases 1-73)
Source: RNAcentral
GCAAACUUGGUCAUUUAGAGGAAGUAAAAGUCGUAACAAGGUUUCCGUAGGUGAACCUGCGGAAGGAUCAUUAUCGAGUACAGGAGCCUACGCUCCUACUCCCACCCUAUGUUGACUUGUACCGUUGCUUUGGCGGGCCGGCGGGGACACCCGCCGCCGGGCGGCGCCUGGAGAGCGCCCGCCAGAGGACCACGCAAAAACUCUUGUUAACUUUGAGAGUCUGAGUACUUGAGAAUUGACCAAAACUUUCAACAACGGAUCUCUUGGUUCUGGCAUCGAUGAAGAACGCAGC